RNAcentral lists this ribosomal RNA (496 nucleotides) under uncultured bacterium. Its description in RNAcentral is "partial 16S ribosomal RNA". It matches the Rfam family "Bacterial small subunit ribosomal RNA", at positions 29 to 507 of the family's 1533-position model. The record is from RNAcentral.
AUGAACGCUGGCGGCGUGCCUAAUCCAUGCAAGUCGCGCGAACAGACGAGGAGCUUGCUCCUUCGACGUUAGCGGCGGACGGGUGAGUAACACGUAGGUAACCUACCUAUAAGACUGGGAUAACUUCGGGAAACCGGAGCUAAUACCGGAUAAUAUUUCGAACCGCAUGGUUCGAUAGUGAAAGAUGGCUUUGCUAUCACUUAUAGAUGGACCUGCGCCGUAUUAGCUAGUUGGUAAGGUAACGGCUUACCAAGGCAACGAUACGUAGCCGACCUGAGAGGGUGAUCGGCCACACUGGAACUGAGACACGGUCCAGACUCCUACGGGAGGCAGCAGUAGGGAAUCUUCCGCAAUGGGCGAAAGCCUGACGGAGCAACGCCGCGUGAGUGAUGAAGGUCUUCGGAUCGUAAAACUCUGUUAUUAGGGAAGAACAAACGUGUAAGUAACUGUGCACGUCUUGACGGUACCUAAUCAGAAAGCCACGGCUAACUACGUG